This 89-nucleotide transfer RNA is filed under the name subsurface metagenome. Its description in RNAcentral is "tRNA-Leu". It matches the Rfam family "tRNA". From Rfam's summary of the family: Transfer RNA (tRNA) molecules are approximately 80 nucleotides in length. Their secondary structure includes four short double-helical elements and three loops (D, anti-codon, and T loops). The record is from RNAcentral.
UGCCGAAGUGGUGGAAUUGGUAGACACGCUAGCUUGAGGGGCUAGUUCCUGAUAUUCGGGAGUAGGGGUUCGAGUCCCCUCUUCGGCAU